CCUACGGGUGGCUGCAGUGAGGAAUAUUGGUCAAUGGGCGCUACCCUGAACCAGCCACGCAGCGUGAAGGAUGACUGCCCUUUGGGUUGUAAACUUCUUUUAUAUGGGAAUAAAGUGCAGUAUGUAUACUGCUUUGCAUGUACCUUAUGAAUAAGGAUCGGAGAACUCCGUUCCAGCAGCCGCGGUAAUACGGAGGAUACGAGCGUUAUCCGGAAUUAUUGGGUUUAAAGGGAGCGUAGGCGGGUUGUUAAGUGAGGUGUGAAAGUUUGCGGCUCAACCGUAAAAUUGCAGUUGAUACUGGCAUCCUUGAGUACAGUAGAGGUAGGCGGAAUUCGUGGUGUAGCGGUGAAAUGCUUAGAUAUCACGAAGAACUCUGAUUGCGAAGGCAGCCUGCUGGACUGUAACUGACGCUGAUGCUCGAAAGUGUGGGUAUCAAACAGGAUUAGAUACCCGGGUAGUC
RNAcentral lists this ribosomal RNA (460 nucleotides) under uncultured bacterium. RNAcentral describes it as "partial 16S ribosomal RNA". It matches the Rfam family "Bacterial small subunit ribosomal RNA", at positions 338 to 795 of the family's 1533-position model. The record is from RNAcentral.